Long non-coding RNA from Neoarius graeffei (lesser salmon catfish), 1520 nucleotides. RefSeq lists it as uncharacterized. The record is from RefSeq and is a predicted model, not a curated record. Lineage: Eukaryota; Metazoa; Chordata; Actinopteri; Siluriformes; Ariidae. The transcript has 3 exons.
AGAGAAUGCACAUUCACCUGUUCAUACGUCAUGUUCAGGAAGAAACUAAAUGUUAAUGGUGCUAAAACAGCCAUCGUCAAAUGGUGCGGUUGGAGUCUUGUUCUUGGACUUGAAUUUUUUUUUUUUAAUGACUUGGACUUGAACACUGGGGACUCGAGACUGGACUCAGACUCAAGGUUUAGUAACUUGACUACAACACUGCUGUCUGUAUCUAUCAUUUAAGACUCACAGAUUGCCCAGUCAUGCUACAGAGUCUGUCAGGCGUUCGCUGCAGGAAGUCCGAGAUGCGCUGAACAAGGAAGUCACGAUCUUUGAGCGGAAUAUGGUCAUGCCUCAACCUGAGUUUCGCAGCCGAAUGACGUACGCGUACCACCACAGGGAACCUGAACACAAGUGCAAGGCAACGUAUCUCAACCACUUUACCACUGGACAACAAAAUUUGUAUCUUUAUUUACAUAAGAUCAAGAAGGUCCUGGGUUCGAGCCCAGUGGCCGGCAAGGGCUUUUCUGUGCAGAGUUUGCAUGUUCUCCCCGUGUCUGUGUGGGUUUCCUCCGGGUGCUCCGGUUUCCCCCAAAGACAUGCAGGUUAGGUUAACUGGGGACUCUAAAUUGACCGUAGGUGUGAAUGUGAAUGGUUGUUUAUGUCUCUAUAUCAGCCCUGCGACGAUCUGGCGACUUGUCCAGGGUGUACCCCGCCUCACGCCCAUAGUCAGCUGGGAUAGGCUCCAGCUUGCCCGUGACUCUGCACAAGAUAAGCGGCUACAGAUAAUGGAUGGAUUUUUAAUCCAGUAUAUAUUUUUUUAAAUUCGCUUUUUUAAAAAUAACCUGGGAUUAUUUACUAACAGCCAGAGCAGCCAUGAUAUAUUUUUUACCAUAUUAACAUGCCAUUGUUGUGUGUUAUGCCUGAUGUCAAGACUCUCGUCUCUGUGAGCCUACCACACAGACUUAAUACUUGUCAUUUUUAGGGCAUACCUAACAUGCGUUUUCUUUCUCUCUCUCUCCCCCCCCAAUCUGUCCCUCGGAGUUACAUGUUGGUCCUGGGAUUGAGAUGCUGGCCUCUUCUGCCCCUCGGGCCUGCUUGGUCCAUCCUGGUGCCCUGUGUCCGGUUGGAGUUUUAUCGCACCGCUCCUGUGAAGGACGGCCCCAUGAGGACAGUUGAAAGUUACACCUGGAGGACGCUCUGGACUCUUACAGUAAUGCUUUUAUGGCUGAGGACUACAGUUGUCUUGCUAACUUUAGGACUGCAGUUAUCAUGAACAGUUUUGCACUCAAGUUUCCAUCAAUGAAAAGUUACAAUAUCAACGAAACUGUCCUCAUGUUAAAACUGUUAUAGUCAUGCUGUCUGUUGUUGCCCAAAUGAGGAUGGGUUCCCUUUUGAGUCUGGUUCCUCUCGAGGUUUCUUCCUCAUGUCGUCUGAGGGAGUUUUUCCUUGCCACCAUCGCCACAGGCUUGCUCAUUGGGGAUAGAUUAGGGAUAAAAUUAGCUCAUGUUUUAAGUCGUUAAAAUUCUGUAAAGCCGCUU